Molecule: transfer RNA, 49 nt
Filed under: Colobus guereza (mantled guereza)
Lineage: Eukaryota; Metazoa; Chordata; Mammalia; Primates; Cercopithecidae
Also listed under: 1 other name
Description: partial tRNA-Leu
Source: RNAcentral
ACUUUUAAAGGAUGACAGCCAUCCAUUGGCCUUAGGAACCAAAAAUAUU